UACCCGCUGAACUUAAGCAUAUCAAUAAGCGGAGGAAAAGAAACCAACAGGGAUUGCCCUAGUAACGGCGAGUGAAGCGGCAACAGCUCAAAUUUGAAAUCUGGCUCUUUUAGAGUCCGAGUUGUAAUUUGCAGAGGGCGCUUUGGCUUUGGCAGCGGUCCAAGUUCCUUGGAACAGGACGUCACAGAGGGUGAGAAUCCCGUACGUGGUCGCUAGCUAUUGCCGUGUAAAGCCCCUUCGACGAGUCGAGUUGUUUGGGAAUGCAGCUCUAAAUGGGAGGUAAAUUUCUUCUAAAGCUAAAUACUGGCCAGAGACCGAUAGCGCACAAGUAGAGUGAUCGAAAGAUGAAAAGCACUUUGGAAAGAGAGUCAAACAGCACGUGAAAUUGUUGAAAGGGAAGCGCUUGCAGCCAGACUUGCUUGCAGUUGCUCACCCGGGCCUCUGUGCCCGGUGCAUUCUUCUGCAGGCAGGCCAGCAUCAGUUUGGGCGGUGGGAUAAAGGUCUCUGUCACGUACCUCUCUUCGGGGAGGCCUUAUAGGGGAGGCGACAUACCACCAGCCUGGACUGAGGUCCGCGCAUUUAUGCUAGGAUGCUGGCGUAAUGGCUGUAAGCGGCCCGUCUUGAAACACGGACCAAGGAGUCUAACAUCUAUGCGAGUGUUUGGGUGUCAAGCCCGAACGCGUAAUGAAAGUGAACGGAGGUGGGAACCCGCAAGGGUGCACCAUCGACCGAUCCUGAUGUCUUCGGAAGGAUUUGAGUAAGAGCAUGGCUGUUGGGACCCGAAAGAUGGUGAACUAUGCUUGAAUAGGGUGAAGCCAGAGGAAACUCUGGUGGAGGCUCGCAGCGGUUCUGACGUGCAAAUCGAUCGUCAAAUUUGGGCAUAGGGGCGAAAGACUAAUCGAACUAUCUAGUAGCUGGUUCCUGCCGAAGUUUCCCUCAGGAUAGCAGUAACGUAUUCAGUUUUAUGAGGUAAAGCGAAUGAUUAGAGGCCUGGGGGUUGAAACAACCUUCACCUAUUCUCAAACUUUAAAUAUGUAAGAAGUGUUUGUUGCUUAAUUGAACGUACACAUUUGAAUGAAACGUUAUUAG
RNAcentral lists this ribosomal RNA (1089 nucleotides) under Pyrenophora tritici-repentis. Its description in RNAcentral is "LSU rRNA". It matches the Rfam family "Eukaryotic large subunit ribosomal RNA", at positions 22 to 1126 of the family's 3401-position model. Lineage: Eukaryota; Fungi; Ascomycota; Dothideomycetes; Pleosporales; Pleosporaceae. The record is from RNAcentral.